GCAACGCCGCGUGAAGGAUGAAGGUCUUCGGAUCGUAAACUUCUUUUGUUAGGGAACAAUUUUGAGCGUACCUAACGAAUAAGUCACGGCUAAUCACGUGCCAGCAGCCGCGGUAAUACGUGAGUGGCUAGCGUUAUCCGGAAUUAUUGGGCGUAAAGCGUCAGUAGGAGGUUUGUUAAGUGAGAUGUAAAAGCCUUUGGCUUAACCAAGGGACGGCAUCUCAUACUGGCAAGCUAGAGGAAGGUAGAGGCAAACGGAAUUCUCGGAGUAGGGGUAAUAUCCGUAGAGCCCGAGAGGAACACCAAUAGCGAAGGCAGUUAGCUGGACCUUUCCUGACUCUCAGUGACGAAAGCGUGGGGAGCGAACCGGAUUAGAUACCCGGGUAGUCCACGCCGUAAACUAUGGGUACUUGGUGCAGGUGGUAUCGAUCCCUUCUGUGCCUAAGCUAACGCGUUAAGUACCCCGCCUGGGGAGUACGGCCGCAAGGCUAAAACUCAAAGGAAUUGACGGGGAUCCACACAAGCGGUGGAGCAUGUGGUUUAAUUCGACGAUAAGCGAGGAACCUUACCUAGGCUUGACAUCUCGGGAACCCUUUGGAAACAAGGGGGUGCCCCUCGGGGAACCCGAUGACAGGUGCUGCAUGGUCGUCGUCAGCUCGUGCCGUGAGGUGUACGGUUAAGUCCGAUAACGAGCGCAACCCUUGUCACUAGUUGUAUUUCUCUAGUGAGACUGCCUCCGUAAGGAGGAGGAAGGUGGGGAUGACGUCAGAUCAGCAUGGCUCUUACGCCUAGGGCUACACACGUGCUACAAUGGGGUAUACAAUGGGUAGCCAACCCGCGAGGGGGAGCUAAUCUCAUCAAAGUACCUCCAAGUUCGGAUUGAAGGCUGCAAUUCGCCUUCAUGAAGUUGGAAUCGCUAGUAAC
Molecule: ribosomal RNA, 923 nt
Filed under: uncultured candidate division GN10 bacterium
Lineage: Bacteria
Description: bacterial SSU rRNA
Rfam family: Bacterial small subunit ribosomal RNA
Source: RNAcentral